AAACAUUUCAACAUCAAGGGCUUAUUUGGGUUGGAAAUCAUGACAACACCCAGGAUUUCUGUACAAACUGUUCCACAGAAACUUAUUUCUAUCAUCAUCAAAUACACCGUAUCACACUUUCAGGUCAAAUGCCAAGAGCAGGGCUAGCAAACUGAAACAAGAGUCUGUGUCUACAGUUCCCGUGGCCACACCCGUAUAAUUUUGGUCCAAAACAUUGCAGGCAACUUGCUUACAAGUUCGUCUUUGGCUUGGAUGGCGGGCUCACGCGCCUGGUCAAGGUCCGCAUCGUCACAAACUCCUCCGCCGCAGAAGGGUGGAUGCCGACCUGCAAAGCCAGCCAACAGGGUACCAUUUUUAGAACCUGAAAAAACACUGAUAUCCGAGACACCGUCGUAAUGUGGUGGCGAUCUGUUCCGAUGACUUACGGUGCUGUCGAAGGUCGCCUUGGUAGCUCCAGCCUUGAGCGCAACAGCAAUGCCCUGCAUUUGUGUCGUUUACAAGCUUAGGAAUAGAAUGCAUCGAACGGGUAACAGAAAAAUAAAUCAUCUUAAAAAAAAAAGAACACGGGAAUUCCACAAAUGCUUAUACCUGCAUAAUUUCAGCUGCAUCUGGUCCACACAUGGCUGCACCAAGUACCUUAUCGGUCUCAGCAUCAACCACCAGUUUUUUUCGAGAAAACGCAAGAGACUUUGCGUUUCAUUUCAUUGAACAGGAAGACAUCAGGGGUACAACCUCCAGAAAGGAGGGACACACACACACACACACACAAAUACACGACCGUCCUCACCAAGCGACUACAACUAGGUGAGGAGGUGCCCUCAACUAUAGACACGCAACGACAUUAGGCCUCGCCCAGCAGGGCAGCGUCACUGCCAUUGCCAGACAGCUCCAGGGACGAUUGCAGCUCCAGGACUGCCCAGGCCAACGUACCUCUCACCCAUGUGCCUAGAGAGUCGGCGGGUGAAGGGCAGGGCUCAACAGGAACUGGUGUAGCAACCGUUGGAGAAGCGCGGGCGCUGGCAUACAUUGCGAUCCGCUCCCUGUGUAGCAGUCUACGCCAGAGCGAUGCAUCACCAGCCUCCAUCUGCCGCAUCAAACUCCACUUGCAGCCAAAGCAGCGCCUACAAGAAGGGAACGGCGCUGAGACGCCGCCGCUGCCCGGUCCGGGAGGCCGGACCUGGGAUUUCUCCCGGUGCUCGAGNNNNNNNNNNNNNNNNNNNNNNNNNNNNNNNNNNNNNNNNNNNNNNNNNNNNNNNNNNNNNNNNNNNNNNNNNNNNNNNNNNNNNNNNNNNNNNNNNNNNNNNNNNNNNNNNNNNNNNNNNNNNNNNNNNNNNNNNNNNNNNNNNNNNNNNNNNNNNNNNNNNNNNNNNNNNNNNNNNNNNNNNNNNGCCGGCCCGCAGCCUCCACCGCCAGGAACCGCCGGGGCACAGCAGAGCAGCAGCCGUCAAGGACUGCCGCGCGCGUGCUCACCCGCCCAGCGGCUACCACCGACGGCGGCCGGGAGGGGUGGAAGGAGGGGGACGGGUGGGUUGGGGCAGAAACGCGCAGCCCAGAUCUGGGCGCCCUCAUCUCUGCAGCUCGCAGCAGCGGCCGGCCGCUGCCACAGCAGCGCCACCGCGCAUGCGUUCCACACCAUCACGGCCUCCCCUGAGCGCAGACGACCGCCUGCCUCGCCACCGCGCGCUCCCGCCGCUCCAGCGCACAAACAGCGCGUGAGCCCACGGACAAGGGCCCCGCCGCCNNNNNNNNNNNNNNNNNNNNNNNNNNNNNNNNNNNNNNNNNNNNNNNNNNNNNNNNNNNNNNNNNNNNNNNNNNNNNNNNNNNNNNNNNNNNNNNNNNNNNNNNNNNNNNNNNNNNNNNNNNNNNNNNNNNNNNNNNNNNNNNNNNNNNNNNNNNNNNNNNNNNNNNNNNNNNNNNNNNNNNNNNNNNNNNNNNNNNNNNNNNNNNNNNNNNNNNNNNNNNNNNNNNNNNNNNNNNNNNNNNNNNNNNNNNNNNNNNNNNNNNNNNNNNNNNNNNCGCGUCUUUAAGAUUAAUAAAAAAGAAUCAAAUCAGAAACCUUCGCCACGAGAAACUACUGUUUAACAGAUAAUCUCAUGAUACAUCAGGUACUUACUUGGAUAUGCUGUUCUUCAUUGGGUUGAAACUUGAUGUGUAAACAAGAAGAUCAUUCUUGGCUUCUGCCAAAGCCUCUUGUUCGCUGAGACCGACGACAGAUAGUGGUGGAAUGCUGAUUUGACAAAAUCCAUAAUCUCAUAUUAUAACACUGAGGGGAUGAUAGUGCAAUAAAGUAGCACAUUUCGAAAAACACAGAAGCUAGUGGUAGUCUAGCAGAGGUUUUUAGGGAUAAAUGGGAGCAUGUUUCAUUGGCACAAAAGGAGCUAUCUUGUCAUCCUACUCUCUAACUGUAGUGACAUGAACAAAAUACAGAACCACAUGUUUCUCAAAGAAAAGCUUGAAACUAAUUGCUAAAUCUAAGUACAAAAUAGGUAAUUUAAACUAACUUAAGGUAAUCACUUACCAGAAAACAGCACAAGGUACAUCUUUAUAAUCAAGCUUAACUGUCUGGCCACCAAACACAGUUUUCUGCAACGAAAAGAUAGGGAAGAAUAAAUGGUGCUGAUUUUAAAAACAAAGACUACAAGCAGAACGACCAGAACGAGUUACUGUGAAAGGAUUACAAACAAUAGCUAUCACUUACAGCGAAGCAAGUAGCCUCCAUCAGAGCAACAGGUGUUAGGUUAAUCCGAUUCGUAACAUCACCCACAGCCCAUAUAUUCGGAACUGAUGUACGGGAGUAUUCAUCAACCUAAACAGACGUGAAGUCAAAAAUUAACAACUGUAUUAUUCAGGGUGCCAAAAUUAUACCAUCAACAAAUUAAUAGAAAACACAGUGCAUAAUAUGGACACAGACCCAAUCAACCUAAACAGACAUGGAGAUGGAGUUGAAAUUAACAAAUCGUAUUAUUCAGAAUGCCACCCAAAGUACACAAUGCAGAAAUUAAUAGCAAAUACAAUGCAGAAUAUGGACACACACCCAAGUUCACAGGUGGGUUUGUAAGGGUAGAAGUAGAAAUGUGAGAAGUAAAUAUUAUUCAUAUAGCCUAGAGUAUACAAUGCAGAAACUAAUAGCAUGCCCAGUGCAUAAUAUGGACACAGACCAGAGCUCACAAGAGGUUUUGUCAGGGUAGAAACAGAAAUAAGAGAAAUAAAUUUCAGAUGUAAGAAUAUAUAAUAUCAACUAGGAGGUUCCGUAAGGACAAAUAAAGAAAGAAGAUAAACCUUGAUGGCUCCUACUUGAUCAACCUCAACACCAACAGCUUCCAGGUUCAGCCUAUUGGAGUUCGGCGCACGACCUGCACAAGUUAAAACCAGGCAUAAGAAUAAGGUGUGAACUUUCAUAUUCAAUGCAAUUUUUUUUUACGAUAAACGUUAUAUUCUAAACAGAGCAAGGAAACCAGAAGUGUCUGAUUCUUCCACAUCCAGCCACAACAGAUUAAUACGUGACAAACAAAUAAGUGGAUAAUUAUCUUUUUAAAAUACAAAUCAGUACAAGUUUUAGAAUACAGUACAAAAUUUUGCUCUACAGACUCAACUAACCAGGUGGUGUCGUGUUGUCCCAUUAUUGAUUGCGUAAUGAAAUGCUUAAAUGGAACAGAUAAAGUGCCAAAAAAUCAAUCAUGGGUAAUUACCUGUAGCGAAAAGAACAACAUCUGCAAUGAGCUCAUCCCCCUUAUCUGUCACAACUUUAAUGCCAUCGGCUGUUUUACUCAACUGGUUUACAUAAAUGAUAGUGAUCAAAACAAACUGCAGCCUGAACAUGAGGAAAGCGAACUGAACUUGAUGAAUUUAGCAUAAAUCACCUCAGUCAAAUUUGUCCCUGGAUGCAAUCUGAUUCCCCUUCCUUCAAGGUUACUUGCAACAACUGUUCUCAUCUCAUCAUCAAAACCUCUGCAAGUGGCUGAACAUAAGCUUCGGAUGAUGAAUAAGGGAGAUAAUAUAUUCAUAAGCUGUUCUCUUAUUGCCACUGAUUAUGGGUACAUCUGUUGUCCCUUAUAUAGGAAGGACUACUUCACCCCUAAGUAACAACUUAAAUGAUACCGAUCCGAUCUCUAACUCUAAUCUUAUCCCUUUCCUAUUUAAACAAUUAUCUUUUCUAUUUAGGUAGUAGGUACUGUCUAAAGCAGUCGUGCACAUAACAGGCUCCAACCUUUUGGAACAAUGCCAGUCACUACUUACUGGAAAGGCUAAAAUCACACCAUCCACUUUCCAGUAUAAUGCAAAAAACCACACAAUUACAUUGCUUGUGUGGAGUUUUACUUUCAUUUGCAAGUGGAACAUCAUGAUGGUCAAGGUAACUAAGCAGAGUACCGUAAGAAAACAAGUGACACUUCAUCAGUAAGGAAAAAUGGAUACUAGCAACUUCCAAGCACAUGGCAGUGUGAUGCCACAUCUCCAAGCAAACAAACUACAUGAAAAUUCUUCUGAAUUGUGCAGUACAUUAUUUGGGUAAAGGGCCACAAAUUUUGUGUGGUCUCCAUGUCGACAGCAGAUCAACCUACAUACCUUAGAGGAAGUUCUUUCCUGUAAAAUAGAUCUACUUCAGCACCCAACCCUUUCCAGAUAGAAGCAAAUUCAACAGCAAUAUAUCUGCAAUGACGCACCAGAUGAAAAAGUUAUGGUUGGGGACAGUUGGUAAUAAAAAUAAUAACAGUAUGGUGCAGGGUACCUAAAUAAAUCUAGAACCAUACCCGCCACCAAGAAUCACGGCGCGUUUUGGUAGCUCCUCCAAACUUAAAGCCUCAUCCGAAGUAAUAGCCAGCUCCUGCAAUUGAAUAUCCCCAUUGGUGUAGGUCAGAAUGGUCGAGAGGGAUACAGAAAACAGUGAAAUGUAAUACUUUGCUUCCUUAAUAACCCAAAGGCAGGUGAAAGAUGACUAAGUAAGUGUGUUCCAAACUGAAAGAGUUAUCAUGUGAAGCACUAAGGCAAUACAAUCACAAUGAGUAAAUCACAUGGAAGAAAACUAAAACAUUCUGAAACCAGACAUGGGCAGAGGAACACCCAAGGAGCUAAGGAUACAUGUUAGCACUAACAUCACCCAGUAAUACAAGUAACAUAAAAAAAAAAUCUCAAGGGGAACUUCCCAAACCUUUCCAGGAAUGUUGACCAGAGUUGCCCGGCUACCAGUUGCAAUCAAUAUGUGCUUGGUCGUCUUUGCUUUGAACCAUCUGGCUGGGUGACCUCAACAGUAUGAACAUCCACAAUACUUCCUGCCCCCUCGAUCAUUGUCACGCCAGAAUUACCAAGGAUUCUCUUGUGCACUUCGUUUAAUCUAACAAUUUCUUGAGUCUGCAUGACAAAGAGUCAUGAUCUUGGGUCACACGCAUCUACACUUGUGCAGAGUAUGAACGAUGAAUGUGCUCAACCAAGGUGAUGUGUCUGAAUCUGACCUUAUUUUCCAGCAACCUUUUCCAGGUGUAGUUGAUGUCCCCGUCGAUUUCCCACCCGAAAUUCUUGGCGUCCUGCACCCGUCACACAAGGAAUGAAAAUAAGCACACCAGAACACUGCUCCCAAUGCACUCCCUCCGUUCCUAAAAACUUCCUCCGCCCCAAAAUAAGUGUCUCGACCUUAGUACAACUUUAGUACAAAGUUGAGACACUUAUUUUGGAAUGGAGGGAGUAUAAGUCUUUCAAGAGAUUUCAAUAUGGACUACAUACGGAUGUAUAUAGACGGACUUUAGAGUGUAGAUUCACUCAUUUCGCUCCAUAUGUAGUCAACCGAGGAAGGAAUAAUGUUUAUUUUUAACAUACUUGACAGGACAACAACAGUUAGCUUGCCUAAUAAGACCACUUACAUCGAAUUCCCCCCUGAAAGAUGCGCCGUAGACGAGUAUCUUCUUCGGGACGCAGCCACGUAUCACGCACCUGAAGGCACCGAGCACGCGUGGAUAGAUUCAGAGCGUGAUUCCAGCGACAGAAACACAGAGAAGGGAAGUAAUUCGGGAUUGCGCGUUACGUUCCGCCGUGGCCUCCGAGCCACUCGGAGCUGAUGGGGUGGAACGGGAGCUCGCAGAUCGCAACCUGCACGAAAUCACAGCCAGACGAAUCUCAGCAUCUCAGCUGAACAAGUCCAACACCAGUAAUUAACGACGGGGUGGGUGUGGUGGGGAAGGGGAACAAGCGGAGGGGGGGCGCAGACCUUGGCCCCGAAGCCGGCGGCGGUGCGGGAGCCGCGGACGCCGCCGCUGCCGGCGCCGAUGACGAAGAGGUCGUAGUCGUAGCUCUCCUCGCCGUCGGCGACUACGGGCGCCUCCCUGUGCUUGAGCAUCUUCUUUAAGAAAGAAAGCCCUUUUCCAUUUCUAGCAAAAUUCUUUCUAUCUACACCUAGUUUAAGGUAUUCAUCAUUGCAAUAAUUGUAUUCCCUCCGUUCCUAAAUGUAAGUCUUUGUAGAGAUUUCACUAUAAAUUACGGAUGUAUAUAGAUGCAUUUUAAGUUUAGAUUCAUUCAUUUUGCUUCAUAUGUAGUUCAUCUAGUGCAAUCUCUACAGAGACUUAUAUUUAGGAACGGAGAAAGUAGUAGAUCGACAACAGAUUCGUGUAGGGAACUAGAUUAGCUAAGCUACUUAUCUAAUUUAUUGUACAGAUUCUGAGGCCAGCGAUUGGACAUGGAAAAUAGAAAUACUUUUUUCUUUAUAAAGAAACAGAUAACUCGAUCGAUAUCUGUAUCGAUCAUGAUAUAUUCCCUCUGUUUCAAAAUAUAGUGCUUCAUCUAUUUCCGUGCUUCACUUUGACCAUAAAUUUAAACAACAAGAUUGACUGCGGCGGGAGCAAAAAUUAUACCAGUGAAUUCGUCGGAGUUGCAGUGAAUCGCGUCGGAGGGUCAUUGAAAUUUGGUCGGGGUUGCAAUGAAGCUCCGCCGGAGCUGCAGUGAAGCACGCCGGAGGGUCGUCGAACCAGGUCUGGGUUGCAAUGGAGGGCCAGCGGCGCGCGCCGGUGCUGCCAUGGAAGUUGCUGCUAGGGGGUACAUAUGGCGGAUUUUGCGUCUGAUGGAUGGAAGAGCGGAGAAGGAAGACUGGGUUGUGCUACGAUCGAAUGGCCACCUCGUCCAGAUUGGACGGCUGGCAAUCAUCCGGCUUAUUCAUAGCAGCCGCCUUUUUUAUUUCACUUCAUAAUCUAUUCUAAAAUUUCUAUAUAUACACUAAUUUGUGGACGGGGGAGUAUGCACUGCGGUAGCACUUGCGUGAACCGGAUUGAAACAAAUUGGACCCCCUCCCCCCGCGAGCGCGUCACGGGAGAUUCCCCUCCGUCGCCGGCGCAAGGCUCCGCCCUCGCUCACUCCUCCUCCUCGCCGCUGCCGGAGGGCGUCCGCCGGGCGAAGCCCGUGCGGCGCUGGCAGCGGCAGGGCUCUCUCCUUCCUCUCCUGGUCGGGAUCUCGGUGGCGCGGGCCGCCGCUCGUGGGGGAGCUGGGUCCGGCGGGGCCUCCGGCGGCGGAGACGUGCGGAUCUGGCAGCUUUGGUGCUGGGAGGCGGCGGUGCGGCCCCGCGGCGGCGGUGGCGGGGGUUUGGUCUGGCGCGACCGAUCUGCCCCCCUGGGGGCUGCGGGCGUUGCGGGUGGCGGCGGCCACUGCUGGAGAGGGCGUCUUCCCCUUGUCGACGGGGUUUGGCGCCGGCACUCGGUGCGCCGUCUUGGCCGUGCUGGGCGGCGAGUCGGCGGCGGGCUUGGAUUCGAUCUUGUAAGGGCAUAUUUAUCCCUCGGGUGUUUUGGUGAUUGAUGACAAUGCAUUUGCGGACUAAUCGUGUGCCUUGAGUUUCUCAGAUACUUCAUCUCUAGGCAUGAGACGAUUCGGUGCCCCUCGGAGACUAUUGAAGUCGGCGUUGUUCUACGUUUCUCUUUGGUGGAUUUGAGUCGUAGGAGAGCCGUACUAUUAAGAGGGGGUCCGCGUCGGAAAGGUUUGGGUGGAAUCAACACGUACACUUGUUCCUCCUUUCCCUGCAUUUUGGAGCUUCCCUUUGUUAUCUAGGUUGUGCGGAAAUCUGACGACUACUGCUGUACUUGCGGUAGUACCGCAAGUACACGCGGUAGUACCGCUGUGUGUCACGGUAGUACCGCUCAUCUGGAGCGGUAGUACCGCGGCUCCCAGGCCUUGUGCCGCUCUGGUGCGGUAGUAGGGGCGGAUGUAAUUUUUUACAUCCGCGCCCCCCAUGGUAGUACCGCUCGUCCAGCGCGGUAGUACCGCGGGGGCCCAUGGUAGUAUCGCUCCCUAGGAGUCGUAGUACCGUGGCCCUCCUACCUAGUACCGCAGUGUCGCGGUAGUAGGCGCGGAUGUAAUUUUUUACAUCCGCGCCCGCACGGUAGUACCGUGCCUCGUGAGCGGUAGUACCGCGUCGGAUUUUUGUACCACCUCAGUUUCAGCGGAAGUAGGCACGGAUGUAAUUUAUAUCAUCCGCGCCCUUCCCAGGCCGUGACUUUCCUGCCUAGCGGUAGUACCGCAAGUGGGUGCGGUAGUACCGCGCAAGCGGUAGUACUGCCCCCUUGUCAGGCUAGUUCCGUCCUGUGCUGCUGUCGCGGUAGUACUGUGGUCAGCCACGGUAGUACCGCACAGCCUCGCGGUAGUACCGCGCCCCUGGAGCGGUAGUACCGCGUGUCGCGGGCUGAACUUGUGGAUAACGGUUGGAUUCUUUCCACGACUAUAUAAGGGGUGUCUUCUACCUCUAGUUCACUACCUCUUCCAUCUCUAAGCUCCAUUGUUGCUCCAAGCUCCAUUUUCACUCGAUCUUUCUCCCUAGCCAAUCAAACUUGUUGAUUUGCUCAGGAUUGGGUGACAAGUGCCCGAUCUACACUUCCACCACAGGAUAUUUGAUUCCCCCCACUUAUCCCUUGCGGAUCUUGUUACUCUUGGGUGUUGAGCACCCUAGACGGUUGAGGUCACCUCGAAGCCAUACUCCAUUGUGGUGAAGCUUCGCGGGAUUAUUGGGAGCCUCCAAGUGUUGUGGAGAUAGCCCCAAUCUUGUUUGUAAAGGUCCGGUUGCCGCCUUCAAGGGCUCCAAUAGUGGAAUCACGGCAUCUCGCAUUGUGUGAGGGUGUGAGGAGAUUACGGUGGCCCUAGUGGCUUCUUGGGGAGCAUUGUGCCUCCACACUGCUCUAACGGAGACGUACUUCCCUUUAAAAGGAAGGAACUUCGGUAACACAUCCUCGUCUCCACCGGCUCCACUCUUGGUUAUCUUAUCCCUUUACUUUUGCGAGCUUACUUGUGCUAUAUCCAUUGCUUGCUUGUGUGCUCAUUGUCUUUGCAUCAUAUAAGUUGUCCACGUAGUUGCACAUCUAGACAACCUAUUUCAUUGCAAGGUUUAAAUUGUUAAAGAAAAGUCUAAAAUGGUUAGUUGUCUAUUCACCCCCCCUCUAGUCAACCAUAUCGAUCCUUUCAAUUGGUAUUAGAGCCUCGUCUCUUUAUUAAGGACUUUGCCAUCCGAAGAGUAUGGUUGACGUCAACGAUGGUGCGGAGGAACACUCCGGUGUGAAUCUCAUCUCGUCUUCGGCCGAAGGGGGAACCUCGGUCUCACGUGAGGAAUUCAAUGUGGCUUUAGACACAUUGAAAACCUCCAUGACGGCCGAGGUUAAAAGCAUGUUUACUGAAUUUCUAGAGGGACUUAAACUAUCUACCUCACCAAUGAAAGUGGUGAUCCCACUAACAAGGUGACGGAUGCUAACUCCAAUAAGGGGGAAGCUAACAAUGAAAAGAGUCCUUCCACUAGUGGUAGAAAUGGCACCGGCAUCUUUGCCCAUGUGGAACCCCCGGUGUAUAGAGGACCGAUCCCCUCUACUCAUUUGAAUCAUGCCGGUCCUCCUCCUAAAUAUGUGAAAAAUGAAGAUUAUGAUUCUUGGGUUUAUUGCUUCAAGCGUCAUUUAAAACAUGUGAAUACUAACCUUUGGAGAAUUAUUGAAGAAGGUUUCUAUCCUCAUGAUCCAACCAACUUCACCCCUCGAGAAGAAGUGGACAAUCAAUUCAAUGAGAGUGCUCUCUUCAUCAUCCAAGAUGCUAUCCUUCCCGAAGAUCUCCCUCAUCUUCGACCUCAUGUCAUGGCUAAAGAAGCAUGGAAGUGUGUCGAGCGUAUGUAUAGAGGAAGUGAUAGAAUUCAACGCUCCAACUAUGAAGUGGUGCAAGAUGAAGCCGAUGAGUUUGCAAUGAAAGAGGAUGAAGAACCUCGUGAGCUCUUUCGAAGAGUGACCAAACUUGCGGUCGCACUUCGAGAUCAUGGGAGUAAGGACACGGAUGACAACUGGAUCAAGCACAAGUUCCUCAAGGCCAUGAUGCCCUACAACAAGGCCAUGUCCUCCAUCAUCCGCCAAAGACCGGACUUCCACUCCAUGACCUCUGGUGAAGUGUUGGAUGAGUUUGUUGCAAUGAACAUCUUGGAUAAGACCGCCGACAAUGCGGUGCUCCGUUCCCAAAGGGCAAAGAAGCCCAAUCUUGCCUUGAAGGCCAAGGUUAGUGUGGAAGAAGAAAAAGAAGAGGAAGAUGAGGAGAGCAACCCCGAGGACACGAAGUAUGAUUAUCAUGAGCACAUGGCUCUUGCCUCAAGACAGUUUUGGAGUAAGAAGACUACAAGACCCAACUUCAACAAGAACAACUCAAGUGGCCUCAAAGGGAAGCAACAAGUUAGAACUUGUUUCACCUGUGGCAAUGUCAGUCAUUUCGUUGCGGAUUGUCCAUAUGAGAAGCGGGAAGACAAUGGGGGCAAGUUCAUUCGAAAAGACAAAGCCAAGUCCUUCCCAACAAGAACAACUUCACCAAGAAGACUCCUUCUCGCGGGUUGGUGGUUCAAGAAGAAUACCGUGAGGAUGACGAUGAUGAUGAAGAUGGUGAAACAAUGGCCAUGGCAUCCGUUGCCAUUGUCUCAACUCCUCGGGUGUCUCUCUUCGAUGCACCUAAUGAGAACAUCACCGCCAAGUGCCUCAUGGCUAAGGCCACCAACAAGGUAACCCCCAACAUCAAAACAACCAUUAUUCCUAACCCUCCUUCAACGGAUGACUUUGAUAAUGGUAAGGGGUCUAAUGAGGAUAUCAAUGAAUUUGAGUCCUUCAUGAGUAAGCUCAAGGGCAAAUCCAAGAAGCAUUUCGUUGCUCUCUUGGAACAACUUGGUGAAGCCAAUGACAUGAUCGAGGCUCAUGAAGAAACCAUCACUAAGAUGGAAAGCCAUAGUCGUGACUAUGCCGAUGAGAUAUCAGAUCUCUCUAAUGCUCUUGAGGAAGAGUGUGAGCAUCGUUUGGCUCUUGAGGAGUCACACAAUGAUGGUCAUGCUAAACUAAAGAAAGAUCUUGAUCAUGCUCUUGCUGUGUCUCGUGUUCUAGCUUCUGAGAAGGCUAAACUUGGGGUUGAUCAUGUUAGACUCACGGAGGAGUUUGAUGUACUUGACAAGGCCCACAAGGUCUUGAAAGGUGCUCAUGCCACCCUCAAGGAGUCUCAUGCUCAACUCCAAGUUAAGCUAACUAAGGAAAAGGCCACAUUUCCUCACAUGGUCUUAAUUGAUACUAACCCAUGUUGUGAGCAUGUGCAUCUUGUGGAGGAAAAUGCCAAGUUGAAGGAACAACUCGAGAAAGGUCUUGUGUCAUGCAUACAAGGCGAGAAGAACCUAAAUAACCUUUUGAGCAAUCAAAGGGAAGUUGUGCAAGGAGGGAGUUGGGUUCGCACCCAAGUCCAAGAACAAGAAGAAAAACAAGGAGAAGAAGAGCAAGACCAAUCGACCUCCUCCGCUCACGCAAACCUUUGUGAAGGAGGGAGAAGGUGCUCCUAAGGAGAAGAAGAACAAUGGGAAGAGUGGUGAAGCCAAAGAGCGCAACGCCAUCUCUCCCAACAAAGCCGGCGACUUUAACCCCUCUUAUGUGUUGUGCCGUGCUAGUGAUGGACAUGUUUAUGCUAAAUUUGUUGGUUCUCCUUAUGAGUACAUUGAAUGGUCUAUUUGGGUUCCUAAGACCCUUGUUACUAACAUCAAAGGACCCAUUACUCAAUGGGUACCUAAAACCAAGCAUUGAUCUCUUGUAGGUGUUUGCUUCCGGUGGGGGAUCAUGGUUGCUCGAUAGUGGAGCAACAAAUCAUAUGACCGGGAGCAAGGACUUGGUGGUGGACGUGCACAAUAUCCCAUCUAUGCCCACCAAUGUCGAAUGGGGUGAUGCCUCACAUUCUAAGGUAUUGGGUCUUGGCAAGGUUGUCAUUUCUCAUGAUCUAACGAUCGAGAAAGUCAUGCUUGUUGAGUCCCUUGUGUUCAAUUUACUUUCCGUUCGUCAACUCGCACUCAUGGGUUUUGCCACCUUCUUUGAUAUUGAUACCGUGGCCCUCUUGUGGAGCAAGACUCUUAAAGUAGCCUUUGUUGGGCAUGUCGAGAAUGGUCUCUAUGUGGUUAACUUCUCGGAGCAACCCACUAAGACCGCGACAUGCCUAAUGGCUAAAGUUGAUGUGGGAUGGCUUUGGCAUCGCCAUUUAGCCCACGUCAAUAUGAGAUCUUUGCAAAGUAUUCUCAAGGGGGAACAUGUCCAUGGACUAACGAAUGUUAGUUUUGCCAAAGAUCGUGUGUGAAGUGCUUGUAUCGAAGGAAAGCUUCAUGAGACGACUCAUCCUCCCACGACUAUCAUCUACUCGAAGAGACCCUUGGAGCUCCUCCACAUGGACCUCUUUGGGCCCCCAUCCUUUGAUAGUCUUGGGGGUAGAAAGUAUUGCUUGGUGAUAGUGGAUGAUUAUUCAAGAUACACGUGGGUAUACUUCUUCAAGAGGAAGAGUGAGACUCAACAAACUGUCAUCGACUUUGCAAAUGAAGCUCAACGUUAACACAAUGCAAAGAUCUUGACAAUAAGAAGUGACAACGGCACCGAGUUCAAGAACUACACCUUGGAUGAGUUUCUUAGUGAUGAAGGGAUCAAGCAUCAAUAUUCUGCACCAUAUACCCCUCAACAAAAUGGUGUUGCGGAGAGGAAGAACCGGACGUUGAUGGAUGCGGCAAGGACCAUGAUGGCGGAGUUCAAGUCUCCAUACAAGUUCUGGGCCGAAGCCAUCAACACAGCUUGUCAUGCAUCCAAUCGGCUCUAUCUCCGCAAAGGCUUGAACAAGACUCCGUAUGAGAUACUCACCGGGAACAAGCCCAAUCUCAAGUACUUCCGGGUGUUCGGGUGUAAGUGUUUCAUUCUCAAGAAAGGUGUUCGUUUGUCUAAAUUUGAAGCUAGAGCUCAUGAGGGCAUAUUUGUUGGUUAUGCUACAAACUCUCAUGCUUACAGUGUUCUCAACAAGUCCAACGGACUCAUUGAGGAGACGUGUAACGUAGAGUUUGAUGAAAAUAACGGCUCCCAAGUGGAGCAAAGUGGUACUUGUGAUGUAGGUGAUGAAAUUCCUCCCCAAGCCAUAAGAAGAAUGGGUAUUGGUCAUAUCCUACCCAUUGAGGAACCCCUUGUGGCCGAAGGAGAAGGACAAUGCUCCACUCAAGUGGAGCCAUCACCUCCCCAAGACCCACACGCUUCCGAAGAACAAAGUGAAGGCCCUCACCUUCAUGAACAAGACCAAGGACAAGAUCAACCUCAAGAUGGAGGUGAACCUCCAAAUGAUGCCCAAGGUCAAGUUCUCCCCCUCGAGCAAGUUCAAGAUCAUGAGCAAGCUCAAGAUGGCGCUCAAGAUGAUCAAGUUAACCUUCCUCCUUCCACAACCGAGGAAGAAUUAGAGCAUCGUACCGUGAAGAUUGCUUCCAAACUCACCACCCAAGGCCAUCUCAUGGAAAACGUGGUUGGAAGUCUAAGAAAGGGGGUAAGCACUCGUAGACAAUUAGCUAACUAUUGUGAACAUCAUGCGUUUGUUUCUUGUGUUGAACCCCAAAAGGUCUAUGAGGCGCUCAAAGACUCGGAUUGGCUCAAUGCCAUGCAUGAAGAACUAAACAACUUCGAGUACAACAAGGUGUGGAGAUUGGUGCCAAGACCUUCGGGGAACCACAACGUCAUUGGAACAAAGUGGAUCUUCAAGAACAAGCAAGAUGCUCAUGAGAACAUCAUUCGCAACAAUGCAAGAUUGGUAGCACAAGGCUACUCCCAAGUCGAGGGCAUCGACUACGGUGAAACCUUUGCUCCCGUUGCUCGUCUUGAAUCCAUUCGUUUGUUGAUUGCUUAUGCUUCCCAUCACAAAUUUAAGUUGCAACAAAUGGAUGUGAAAAGUGCUUUUCUUAAUGGUCCCAUUAAUGAGUUGGUUUAUGUCAAGCAACCCCCCGGGUUCGAGGACCCCUACUUCCCGGAUCACGUGUAUCAACUCGAUAAGGCACUCUAUGGCCUUAAACAAGCCCCACGUGCGUGGUAUGACCACCUUACCGAGUUGCUACAAGAUCGUGGAUUUGAAGUAGGACAAAUCGAUCCCACUCUUUUUACGAAGAAGGUCAAAGGGGAGUUGUUUGUAUGCCAACUAUAUGUUGAUGAUAUUAUCUUUGGUUCUCCUAACAAAGCUUUCAAUGAGGAAUUUGCCGCUCUCAUGACCUCCAAGUUCAAGAUGUCUUCGAUGGGAGAGUUGAAGUUCUUCCUUGGUUUUGACAUCAAACAACGAAGAGAAGGAACCUUCAUCAACCAAGCCAAAUACACUCAAGACAUGCUUAAAAGAUUCAAGCUAAGUGAUGUCAAGCCGGCUUCUACACCAAUGCCUACCAAGUGCCAACUUGACAUCGAUCCCAAUGGUAAAGCGGUGGAUCAAAAGGUAUAUCGCUCCAUGAUUGGCUCCUUGCUUUACCUUUGUGCAUCUAGACCGGAUAUCAUGUUGAGUGUGGGGAUGUGUGCACGGUUUCAAGCCGCACCAAAGGAAAGUCACUAUGUGGCGGUCAAGCGAAUCUUUCGAUAUUUGGCUCAUACCCCAAACUUUGGCUUAUGGUACCCAAGAGGAGCAAAUUUCAAGCUUGAAGGUUUCACGGAUUCCGAUUGGGCGGGGGACAAAGUGGAUAGGAAGUCCACUUCCGGAGGGUGCCAAUUUCUUGGUUGCUCUUUGGUAAGUUGGUCUUCCAAGAAGCAAAGUUGUGUGUCCCUCUCGUCCACCGAAGCGGAGUAUGUGGCGGCCGGUAGUUGUUGUGCUCAACUCCUAUGGAUGAGGCAAACUUUAAAGGAGUACGGUGUCAUUUGUGACAAAGUGCCUCUUUGGUGUGAUAAUGAAAGUGCCAUCAAGAUUUCUCUCAACCCGGUACAACACUUCAAGACGAAGCACAUUGAGAUUCGGUAUCACUUCAUCCGGGAUCACAUUAGGCGAGGGGAGAUCGAGCUCAAGUAUGUCAACACAUGAUAACCUUGCAGAUAUUUUCACGAAGCCCUUGGAUGAAGCAAGAUUUCGCGAGUUAAGGCAUGAGCUAAAUAUCAUUGAUUUGAGCAAUGUGACUUGAACCCGUACACCCCCCACCACACUCAACGUGUUGUCUAGUUUAGGUGUAGGCAUGGACACAGGGGGAGUGUUGUUCUCUCAAUGAACUCUUCCUCCCCCCAUUAUGCAUAAAUCGAUCACCUCUUUCACAUUAGCCAUUUUUAAUGGUACUUAUGCUUCAAAGACGAGUUUUGGUCAUGGGCCCAAGGAUAAUUCUUCCCGGUGCCAUACCAUCCAACUCAAACAUAGGUGGCUUCGGCCACCGCCUUCUCUCCUCGAGAGGCUUUGUCGCUUGGUGGUUUCUUGUUGUCUUUUUGCCUCUGGUGUGUGCGUGUUCUUGUGGUUUCUUGUGUGUGAAAAGUUUCCGUGCAAAGGCUUUUUCUUCUCUUGUUGAAACUUGCGGUGACUUGAGCUCACGGUACUACUGCGGCCAGCUAUGGUACUACCGCAGCCAGCCACGGUACUACCGCUUGCGGGAGCAUGGUACUACCGUCACCACGCGGCAGUAAUUUUUUUACUGCCGCCUGGUUGAGCGGUACUACCGCCUCGGCGUGGUACUUCCGCCCGAGCGGUACUACCGCGAUGAUACGCGGAACUACCGCGCCGGUUCGAGCGCGUGGGGAUAAGGACGGGCAGGGGGAGUUUUAACUCCCCAUACCCAUUCGUUGUCCUCUCUCUCCACAUCGCCUCCUUCUCUCCCUCGCUCAUGAACGGAGCCGGCGUUCGUCGCCGGAUCUCCUCCACUGGCUGCCCUCCCGUGAUUCCGACCGGUGGGAUCGUUCCCCACCACGUGCUCUUGCUAUGGACCAAGAUUUUUCCCCAACUCCCUCUCCGUGUUGAUUGUGUUUAGUGUUUCUAGGUUUUGGGGGAGGCUUGUGUGUUCUUGAGAUUCUUAGGCUUAAUCUCUGCAAGAGUAGGAUGAAGGAGCGUGGUAUUGCAUAGGAUUUAUACUUGUAUUGUUGUCUUGCGCUAGAUCGGAUCACCGUAGCACCGCCAGUGUUUCGCGGUUCUUUUCAGAUUCAAACCGCCGGUUGGAUCUGACGCGACGCGGUACUACCGCCCGUCUGGCGCGGUACUACCGCUUGCACGGUACUACCGCCCGUCUGGCGCGGUACUACCGCUUGCACGGUACUACCGCCCUUCGGGAGCGGUACUACCGCGCUCUGUGCGGUACUAAAAGUUUACUUCCGCUCCAACCACGGUACUACCGUGACCUCGCACGGUACUACCGUGUUUAGAGCAGUACUAAUCUUUUAGUACCGCAUGCAAUGGCAGUUCUACCGUGGCUCACAUCUAUCGCAUGCCAACUUUCUCGUAUGCCUUCUAUGUGUUUCUUGUGCUUUUUCGUGGCCUUUGCAUUGAUCCUUUCGCGUCUUUGGUGUUUUGCGUGUGUGUCUCAGGUGGUGGCUCUCGCCGGUCCAACCCUAGUCGUGACACUGGCUCCAAACGUUUGCGCAACCCAGGUGAAGUACCAAAGGGCUCGUGUGCCUCCAAGCGCAAUGUCAAGCACUCAGCUAGCAAGCACAAGGAGCCCGCUAAGGGCAUGGAUGAGAUAGCCCAAGCUGAUUAUGUCCGUCUCAGGCAGCUUCACCCUUAUGUGCACCCCGCGUGCCACUUUCAGAGGCUGUGAGCUGUUCUGGAACAAGCAACAGACCAACAUCUAUCUGGAUGUCAUCAAGAACAAGCAGAAAACCUAUGUGGAGGUGAAGUGGAUUGACAUGCAUCACAUGAGGAAGGACAAGUUUCGUGACUACUUUGGAGAGGCUCUGGACUUGGUGGAGCAGUUUGGCAUUGAGCAUGUGUUAACCUUCCACCUCGACUAUGACCCUGAGCUUAUCUGUCAGUUCUUUGCCUCAGUCUACUUUCACUCCGAUGAGGAACGGAGGAUGACCUGGAUGACCAAUGGCCGUAAGCUGUCUGCUACCUGGAAGGAGUUCAUGGAUCUCCUCCAGGUUCCUGAUGAUGGGCUCGACUCUCCAGUGGGUGUUCGCCCCCAUGCCAAUGCUGAGUCUGCCAGCAAGGACAGGCUUGCCCCAUUCAUGGUUGAGAAGGCGCUCGCCAAUGGCAAGACAACUUUGGUGCUCAACCCCUUCCUGGAUAUCAUGUAUCGCAUCUUCCGCAACUCCUUGUUCCCUCGCAUCGGUGACAAAGACAAGGUUCAUGCCUAUAUGGUGGACAUGAUGCUCAUCUGCGAGGAGGCUCGUUCGUCUCAGUCUCAGCCACUUGAUGUCUCACACAUCAUGUGGUGUGAGCUCCGGUUUGCAGUGUUCAACCGCAAGGUGCCUAUCUAUGGGCCCUAUCUGUUUCUGCUGAUUUCAAAGACUUGGGAGAAGAUGUUCCCUGAUGAGGAGUUUCUUGCUCCAGACUGGGUUCGCCAUGAGCCCAUCUGCCUGCGUAUCAAAUCCAACUGGGCCAACACCACUACUCGUGCCAAGGCAUCUGCUGCUAGGGCUGCUGUUGAUGAGGAGGAUGCUGGCGCCGAGGAUGUUGCUGAGGGCCGUGCUGCUAGGCCUUCCCAGAGUGCCGCUAUGCCAUCAUGGGCCAAGAAGCUGAAGGACAAGAUGAAGACUCUUUUCUACAUGCAAGCCAAGGGGCAGUACAGGACUCACGUGGCGUCCAAGGAGAGUCGUCGCCGGGACAACAAGAUCUUGCAGCUCUAUGGUGAGGCAGUGUCUGGCGGGUCUGAGGAGCACAUCACUCCAGAGGCAGAGUGGAUGGAGAAGCAGGGCUAUAGGUGGACUGAGUCUGAGGAGGAUGUCGAGGAGAACAUCCAUGCUGCCGAGGAGACCGACGGAGAGGCUUGGGACGAGUUCUCUGCUUGAGCCACCUCUUGUGUGUAGGUGUCCUCUCUGCCUUUUUGGCGUCUCGAUGCCAAAGGGGGAGAGAGUGUAGGGAUUUGCUAGUGUGUCGUGUGUUUGCUGCUUUCUCGUUUGAACUAUUUGCUGCUUUCUCGUUUGAACCUCGGUAGCUUUAUUUCAUAUGGUGUAAGCCAUAUGCACUCGAUCUAUCCUAGCGAGCUUGUGUUAUAUUGUGUUAUCUUUAUGCUAUGCUAUGCUUAUUAUCAUGCCUUGGUCUCUAAAAUAUAGGGAGAGUGUUGAUCCUAGUCUGUGUGCUAUGCAGUCCAAAGCAUUCAUCUAAAGUGCACACAUCUAGGGGGAUCCCGUCUAUAUUUUAGAGCGGUGGGGUUUGCCCCUGCUCUAAAUUAUCUUAUCUAUAUGCAAAUCCCGUGUUGUCAUCAAUCCACCAAAAAGGGGGAGAUUGUAAGGGCAUAUUUAUCCCUCAGGUGUUUUGGUGAUUGAUGACAAUACAUUUGCGAACUAAUCGUGUGCCUUGAGUUUCUCAGAUACUUCAUCUCUAGGCAUGAGACGAUUCGGUGCCCCUCGGAGACUAUUGAAGUCGGCGUUGUUCUACGUUUCUCUUUGGUGGAUUUGAGUCGUAGGAGAGCCGUACUAUUAAGAGGGGGUCCGCGUCGGAAAGGUUUGGGUGGAAUCAACACGUACACUUGUUCCUCCUUUCCCUGCAUUUUGGAGCUUCCCUUUGUUAUCUAGGUUGUGCGGAAAUCUGACGACUACUGCUGUACUUGCGGUAGUACCGCAAGUACACGUGGUAGUACCGCUGUGUGUCACGGUAGUACCGCUCAUCUAGAGCGGUAGUACCGCGGCUCCCAGGCCUUGUGCCGCUCUGGUGCGGUAGUAGGGGCGGAUGUAAUUUUUUACAUCCGCGCCCCCCACGGUAGUAUCGCUCGUCCAGCGCGGUAGUACCGCGGGGGCCCAUGGUAGUACCGCUCCCUAGGAGUCGUAGUACCGUGGCCCUCCUACCUAGUACCGCAGUGUCGCGGUAGUAGGCGCGGAUGUAAUUUUUUACAUCCGCGCCCGCACGGUAGUACCGCGCCUCGUGAGCGGUAGUACCGCGUCGGAUUUUUGUACCACCUCAGUUUCAGCGGAAGUAGGCACGGAUGUAAUUUAUUUCAUCUGCGCCCUUCCCAGGCCGUGACUUUCCUGCCUAGCGGUAGUACCGCAAGUGGGUGCGGUGGUACCGCGCAAGCGGUAGUACUGCCCCCUUGUCAGGCUAGUUCCGGCCUGUGCUGCUGUCGCGGUAGUACUGUGGUUAGCCACGGUAGUACCGCACAGACUCGCGGUAGUACCGCGCCCCUGGAGCGGUAGUACCGCGUGUCGCGGGCUGAACUUGUAGAUAACGGUUGGAUUCUUUCCACGACUAUAUAAGGGGUGUCUUCUACCUCUAGUUCACUACCUCUUCCAUCUCUAAGCUCCAUUGUUGCUCCAAGCUCCAUUUUCACUCGAUCUCUCUCCCUAGCCAAUCAAACUUGUUGAUUUGCUCGGGAUUGGGUGACAAGUGCCCGAUCUACACUUCCACCACAGGAUAUUUGAUUCCCCCCACUUAUCCCUUGCGGAUCUUGUUACUCUUGGGUGUUGAGCACCCUAGACGGUUGAGGUCACCUCGAAGCCAUACUCCAUUGUGGUGAAGCUUCGCGGGAUUAUUGGGAGCCUCCAAGUGUUGUGGAGAUAGCCCCAAUCUUGUUUGUAAAGGUCUGGUUGCCGCCUUCAAGGGCUCCAAUAGUGGAAUCGCGGCAUCUCGCAUUGUGUGAGGGCGUGAGGAGAUUACGGUGGCCCUAGUGGCUUCUUGGGGAGCAUUGUGCCUCCACACCGCUCUAACGGAGACGUAGUUCCCCUUAAAUGGAAGGAACUUCGGUAACACAUCCUCGUCUCCACCGGCUCCACUCUUGGUUAUCUUAUCCCUUUACUUUUGCAAGCUUACUUGUGCUAUAUCCAUUGCUUGCUUGUGUGCUCAUUGUCUUUGCAUCAUAUAGGUUGUCCACGUAGUUGCACAUCUAGACAACCUAUUUCAUUGCAAGGUUUAAAUUGUUAAAGAAAAGUCUAAAAAUUGUUAGUUGCCUAUUCACCCCCCCUCUAGUCAACCAUAUCGAUCCUUUCAGAUCUGAAGUUGGCGGCUUCACCACGCUUUCCUCCUUUGCUGGCCGGUCUGCGGGCUUCCUCCGGACGUCCUACUCAGCUGGUUGGCGGAGCAAUGGUGAUGCAAGCUCUGGGUCGGGGGAAACCCUUGACCGGCGGUGCCGGUCACGAUGUUGGCGAUGCUCGUGGCGCCGUUCUCCCUCUGGUGGGCGACAUCAAGACCCUCUCCUCGUCUCCACCCCAUGGUCCCGGGCGAAAGCCUAAAAUAUCUUGAUUGGGCGGCGACGGCGCAUCGGCGUCGUUUUCUUCUUGAAGACGCUGCCUUGGGAGUCCAGGAUGGUCAGGGGAUCGGUGCGGUGGUGGUUUGCCCGUUUCUGUCGUGUCCCUGCUCGGGAUUGGCGAUGGGCUUCUUGGUCUUGGCCGGUGACGUGCGUGAUGUAUGGGUUCCUGUGAGAGGUGAGGUGGCCAGGGCUCGUCCUCUCCCCGGUAACAUGUUGGCCAGUCCAUCCGUGCUCAAGGGUGAGCUGUUCUGCCUCCUGACGGGUCGGCGUCCUUCGAUCCAGGACGAGAGGGCAGGGGUGCCCUCUUCGGAGGCAGCGGCGGAAAGUAGGACAACAGGGUUGGCCCUUGGGAGUUGAUGGAGGGUGGCCUCCCUCCGGUGGCGAAUUGCUCCCUUGUCACAGUUGCGUCGAUGGCAUGAUCGAAGGCCGUCGCUUGUUGUUCCGUAGUGUUUGUACCCUUGUCGAUUUUGUUUUCUCUUCUUUUCCUUCUUUGUUGUGGUGAUGGAUGUAAUGUGUGGUUGGUGCUUUAUAUAUAAAGCGGGGCGAAAGCCUUUUUCGGUAAACAAAUUGGACCCCGAUAAAAUCCGAACGUACGGAUUUUAAGCAUUUCAUUCUGAACAUUUUUACAUGGCAACUUUAGUUGACGCUAGGUGGCAACUUUACUUGUUAAGACAUGGCAACUUUGUCCCAGUUCGUUUUUUUCAGAAAAUUGCAAUGUUCGCCAACCUCACGUGAACUAAAGUUGCCAUAAAAACGUUCGGAUUUCCAUGCUUAAAAUCCGAACAUUAGAGAUUUAUCAUUGCCGAACAAAUUUUGGGUCAGUUGACUGACCCAAAAUCUCCGCGUCAGCGAGAGCGGCAGCCACACCCGCCUCCUUUUCUCCUUCCCCUUCCUCUACUUUUCGCCGUGCCAUGGCCACGGUGGCGAGCUAGCUAGCCGCGCCGCGCCUACUUAAGCCCCCUCUCGGCGUCCGCACCUAGCCCCUAGGGUUUCUCUCUCCAGCCUCCGCCGCCGCCAGGGGAGAAAACUCCCCCAGAUCCGUCGCUUCCGCCGCUUCCUGAGCGCGCCUGAGAGCGCGUCCACGUCGCCGGCGCGCACUCCGGCCACCUCCGCCUCGCCAACAUCGUCCGUCUUCCUCCACGACGUCGACUACGUCCCCGUCGUCCUCUUCCUCGCCUGGGAUCGUCAAGUCUGGCUACCUCCCCGUUGUCCUCUUCCUCCCCUGCUUCGCGGACAGCAGCCCCGCCAGGUUCAGAGCUCGUCCGCGUCGCCGCAGGCUCGUCUCCGUCGACCCCAUCGUGUCCUAGGGUGAGCUGGGUAACGGACCUCCCUAUCCCAUCCAUUCCAUGGCGUGUAGGCACCCGUACGACUCGCCCGAUCCGUGUCUUUGACGCGCUCGCAGUGCUCCAGCGAAGCCUGAAGAUUAUGUUGUGCGUAUCUUUGCUGUAGCGCACCCGCGCGUCCCCACGAUCCGGUUCUAUCCUAGCCACGUUCUCCUCGCUGUGUUGGACUCACCCGCGCAACCGCUCUUGCAGUGCAGCAUGCCCGCGCGAGCACCAGGCCUCGCCUAGCCCCAUGCCUUAGCCACCGAGGCGAGCACGAGCUCGUCCUCGGGAGGGCCCGUACGCGCAUGUUCCUUUGCUGCUCUGCUUGCACGCGUGCGACCUUACCCCCAUUCCGCACGCCAGCCGGUGCUCUGCAGCUGCAGAAGUCGCCGCCGUUGCUUGCCGUCGACGCCGGAACUCUGCUGCGCGUUCAUGGCGUUUCCAGGACCGGGACUCUCUCUGUUCAAAGGGUGAUGAACCCCUUCUUGAUCAAGCCGGGCUUGUAGCCCACUAGUUGCUCCCGCUCGCUCUGAUUCAGUAGGUCUCGGGUUCGAGUCCCAGGCUCUACAUAGUUUGUUGUGUCCUUUUUAUUCUGCAUUGUGACACUGACGCCUCAGCCCCACUGUCAUACACACACCCUCUUAGGCCCACUGUCAUACACACACGCACACAACUGCCUCCCUUUCCUUAUUUUGUUCCUCCAUUUAUGGAAAGUGCCCAUUUUCCAUUUUGCGCAGAUCCAAAUCUGGACAUUCCAGAUUAGGCAAUUUCCUUUUCUAUCUAUUUCCAGUUCGGGCAGUUUCUCAAAUAUGCAUUUUAUGGGUAUUUUUCUACAGUAACCCCAACAUAUUAUAUAUGUUUUUGGGCUAGAAAAUCCAAUGAAUCCAGUAGUGGCAUUAGUUUCUGCAUUUGAGCAAGUUUGCACACAUGUCAUUUUACAUCAUGUUGCUGUUUUGUCUUUUAUGUGUAUAUUUAUGCAAAUAUGCUAUGGGGUAGUUUUGCACAUGAACAUGCUCUUCAUCAUGCCUACUUGCUGCUAGAAUUAAGCUUAUGCCAUGAUAUGUUUUAUUUUGAGUUAAACAAGCUUGCAAACAUGCUAUCUUGAAUCUGUUUCUGCCAUGCCAUUAAAUUUUACCAAGUCUGGGUCUGUUUAUGUCACUUGCCAUGUUUGCAUUGACGCUAUCAUUAUUUCUGUAGAUAUUUGGAGCAUGUUCACUAAGUGAGUUUUGUUAAGUGCAUGUAGUACUAGCAUGCCAUGCUCUUGCUUGCCAUGAUAUAUUGUUGUAGCAUAUUUAAACCAUGCACAUAAGUUGUUAUGUUGCUAUUUUUCAACAGAUUGCAUUGCAUUUUGUUUUGCUUGUCAUUUUCAAACUGUGCAUCCGUUUUCGGUGAUCUUCAUAUCGAUUUCAUUCGAAAUCUCCCAACCUAUCCAGUGGAAUGCUUGGGUUACCAAGAUUGUGCCAUGUUUAUCGUUUCUCCUUCCGUCUCGUUUGCACCCCUUCCGAAGCACCUCGUAUGCAUUGCACCUCAUAUCUUGCAUUCCAUGCCAUGUCUUGCAUCAUGUUGCUUGCACAUUGCACCGUAAUUGAUUGUUGUUCCAUUGCUUGUGUUCUUGCUUUGGGUAGAGCCGGGAGACGAGUUUGUGUACGAGGAACCUGUUAAGUACGCUAACGAGGAGCAAGCUUUCGACAACUCUGAGAACUUUGCAGGCAAGAUGACCGUUACCACCGAUAUCACUUCCAUCUUUGCUUGCUAGUUGCUUCGUUCUAUCGUUAUGCUGCGCUACCUAUCACUUGUUUACCAUGCCUCCCAUAUUGCCAUGUCAAGCCUCUAACCCACCUUCCUAGCAAACCGUUGUUUGGCUAAGUUACCGCUUUUGCUCAGCCUCUCUUAUAGCGUUGUUAGUUGCAGGUGAAGUUGAAGAUUGCUCCAUGUUGGAACAUGAUUAUGUUGGGAUAUCACAAUAUCUCUUAUUUUAAUUAAUGCAUCUAUAUACUUGGUAAAGGGUGGAAGGUUCGGCCUUAUGCCUGAUGUUUUGUUCCACUCUUGCCGCCUUAGUUUCCUUCAUACCGGUGUUAUGUUCCUUGAUUUUGCGUUCCUCACGCAGUCGGGUUUAUGGGAACCCCUUGACAGUUCGCCUUGAAUAAAACUCCUCCAGCAAGGCCCAACAUUGGUUUUACAUUUGCCUAACAACCUACUAACUUUCCCUUGGGUUUUCGCGAGCCCGAGGGUCAUCUUUAUUUUAACCCCCCUCCCCCCAGGCCAGUGCUCCUCUAAGUGUUGGUCCGAACCGAGUAGAGUGCGGGGCCACCUUGGGGAAACUUGAGGGUUGGUUUUACUCGUAGGAUGUCUCAUCCGGUGUGCCCUGAGAACGAGAUAUGUGCAGCUCCUAUCGGGAUUGCUGGUCUUGUUUUACCAUUGUCAAAAUGUCUUCUAACCGGGAUUCCGAGACUGAUCGGGUCCUCCCGGGAGAAGGAAUAUCCUUCGCUGAUCGUGAGAGCUUGUGAUGGGCUAAGUUGGGACACCCCUGCAGGGUAUAAACUUUCGAGAGCCGUGCCCGUGGUUAUGUUGAAGAUGGGAAUUUGUUAAUAUCCGGUUGUAGAGAACUUGACACUUGACUUAAUUAAAAUGCAUCAACCGCGUGUGUAGCCGUGAUGGUCUCUUUUCGGCGGAGUCCGGGAAGUGAACACGGCUUGGGUUAUGAUUGAACGUAAGUAGUUUCAGGAUCACUUCUUUAUCACUUCUAGCUUCACGACCGUUGCGUAGCUUCUCAUCUUACUCUUAUUUGCGUAUGUUAGCCACCAUAUUUGCUUAGCGCUUGCUGCAACUCCACCUCAUUACCACAUCUUACCCAUAAGCUUAAAUAGUCUUGAUCUUGCGGAUUUUGAGAUUGCUGAGUCCUCGUGACUCACAAGAUACUACCAAAACAGGUGCUGAUGAUACUAGUGCAGGCGAUGCUACCGAACUCAAGUGGGAGUUCGACGAGGUCCUUGGCCGCUACUACGUGUUUUUUCCUGAUGAUCAGUAGUGGAGCCCAGUUGGAACGAUCGGGAUCUAGCAUUUGAGGUUAUCUUCCUUUUCAUUUGGAUUUGUUUGUAGUCGAACUAUGUGUGUAUAUUGGAUGAUGUAUGAUUAAGUAUUGUGUGAAGUUGCAAUUGUAAGCCAACUGUAUUUAUCCCUUUCUUGUUCAUUACAUGGGAUUGUGUGAAGAUGACCCUUCUUGCGAUAAAACCACAAUGCGGUUAUGCCUUUAAAUCGUGCCCCGACGCCACAUCGUGGGCGUUACAAGUUGGUAGCACUUGCGUGAACCGGAUUGAAACAAAUUUUGGGUCAGUCAGCUGACUCAAAAUCUUAUUUCAGUCAACUGACAGACAGCCGGUCACAUACCUGGCCAUGGGCAGCCCGGCCCAAACGACCCGACCCAACCCGACCUUGCCCACGGGCAAGGCAUGCGCCUAGAUUUUGAGCCUGGUGGCCAGGCAAGGCCAGGCCCGUCAUUUCUGCAGUUUAAGGAAGAGGCCCGGCCCAAGGCCCAACGGGUUUUGCAUGAUGGGCCUGGCUUGGGCUUAAUAUUUAGGCCCGACAGCCAGGCCACACUCAGGCCUAGGUUUUCUAUGUCAGGCUUUGGUAGGCCCCGCCCGGCAGAUGCCCAGGUAUAUCAGGGACUGGCAUGAGAUGCAGGCUAAAUGCGAAAAUAUACAGGCUAAAUGGUAAAAUAUUUCAACAUCAAGGGCUUAUUUGGGUUGGAAAUCAUGACAAUACCCACCAUUUCUGUACAAACUGUUCCACAGAAACUUAUUUCUACCAUCAAUCAGAUACACCGUAUCACACUUUCAGGUCAAAUGCCAAGAGCAGGGCUAGCAAACUGAAACAAGAGUCUGUGUCUACAGUUCCCGUGGCCACACCAGUAUAAUUUUGGUCCAAAACAUUGCAGGGAUCUUGCUUACAAGUUGGUCUUUGGCUUGGAUGGCGGGCUCACGCGCCUGGUCAAGGUCCGCAUCGUCACAAACUCCUCCGCUGCAGAAGGGUGGAUCCCGACCUGCAAAGCCAGCCAACAGGGU
This 25952-nucleotide long non-coding RNA is filed under the name Triticum aestivum (bread wheat). RNAcentral describes it as "long non-coding RNA (TAES_LNC012663)". The record is from RNAcentral. Lineage: Eukaryota; Viridiplantae; Streptophyta; Magnoliopsida; Poales; Poaceae.